Non-coding RNA from Camellia sinensis, 218 nucleotides. The record is from RefSeq and is a predicted model, not a curated record. Lineage: Eukaryota; Viridiplantae; Streptophyta; Magnoliopsida; Ericales; Theaceae.
UGUCAAUGGAACACAAGGUUAUUUUGUGGUGUAAUCAACUUGUAGUGCAGGUGUCCCACACUUUACUCAGUCUGAUAGACCCUGAAGCAGGUCAACCAUUUUCUGAUACACAAAAAAGACUUGCAGCAUUCACAAAGAUGCUUCAUAGUGGGAUGCCACUGAGUUCUAAUUGGUUGAGACAAUCACUAUUACCUCAACAGGCAACCCAUGAUCCCGUU